Molecule: ribosomal RNA, 569 nt
Filed under: [Candida] sp. LCF-15
Lineage: Eukaryota; Fungi; Ascomycota; Saccharomycetes; Saccharomycetales
Description: eukaryotic LSU rRNA
Rfam family: 5.8S ribosomal RNA (bases 186-339)
Source: RNAcentral
UUUUGCUUUUCCAGUGCUUAACUGCGCAGGAAAACAAAAACCUUUCACACAUGUUUUUUUAUAAAUUUGAUAUAUUGCUUUGGUUUGGCUUAGAAAUAAGCUGGGCCAGAGGUUUUACCAAACAAAAAUUCUUUAUUGAAUAUUUUAUUUUAACUUAUAGUCAACCGUUUUUAAUAAUAAUUUAAAACUUUCAACAACGGAUCUCUUGGUUCUCGCAUCGAUGAAGAACGCAGCGAAAUGCGAUACGUAAUAUGAAUUGCAGAUUUUCGUGAAUCAUCGAAUCUUUGAACGCACAUUGCGCCCUUUGGUAUUCCAAAGGGCAUGCCUGUUUGAGCGUCAUUUCUCUCUCAAAUCCUAGGAUUUGGUAUUGAGUGAUACAUCAUUAUUUGGCGUUAACUUGAAAUAUAGUUGGAGGCUAACCCAAAGGAAAUGAAUUCUUUUAAUUCUCAAUGUAUUAGGUUUAUCCAACUCGUUGAGCUAAAGAAUUUAUGGAAAUUGGGAUUAUUAGUCGCAUUAUAAAACUAAUUCUAAGUUUGACCUCAAAUCAGGUAGGACUACCCGCUGAACUU